CAAAUUUCUGCAAUUUUCACUUUCCAACUUUUCUAAAUGUGAGUUCCUUUCGUUGCUUUCUUGUAGCACUGCAUCUUUCACUGAACUUGACAGGAACUACCUUACCCCAUUUUUCACAUCUCAAAGUGGCGAAGAUGAUGACCACGAUGAUAUUUUCAGCGACAACGGGAGAGCAAGUUAUCAUUGAUCACAGACACGAGGCUGAUAAUAGUAGGCAACUUUACUCAUCGUCCAUGACAGACCGACUUCAAUAGUGGUUUAUCAAGUUGUGACAUGUGAAGAUGGAGAUAGGACUGCUUAAUGAGACACAAACAUUGUAUCUUUCUUAGAAGUAUACUGCAAUAGGAUUGUAGAUUAGUCACAAAUUAGGGGUAGGACUGCUUCAUCAUUUGACGCCUUGUAAUAUCUGUAUAUGAAAUGAUUCACUGAGAGGGAGUUCCUGGUUUCACUUGCCAACCAAUUAUUUUGUUAUUUCCGUCGUAUUAUUAUCAAUACUCUUUUCUUUGUUCCCUAGAA
This is a non-coding RNA of Salvia hispanica, 516 nucleotides long. The record is from RefSeq and is a predicted model, not a curated record. Lineage: Eukaryota; Viridiplantae; Streptophyta; Magnoliopsida; Lamiales; Lamiaceae.